RNAcentral lists this ribosomal RNA (438 nucleotides) under uncultured bacterium. Its description in RNAcentral is "partial 16S ribosomal RNA". It matches the Rfam family "Bacterial small subunit ribosomal RNA", at positions 339 to 795 of the family's 1533-position model. The record is from RNAcentral.
CUACGGGAUGCACCAGUGAGGAAUAUUGCACAAUGGGGGGAACCCUGAUGCAGCAACGCCGCGUGGAGGAUGACGCAUUUCGGUGUGUAAACUCCUUUUAUAUGUCAAGAAAAUGACGGUAGCAUAUGAAUAAGCACCGGCUAACUCCGUGCCAGCAGCCGCGGUAAUACGGAGGGUGCAAGCGUUACUCGGAAUCACUGGCGUAAAGGACGCGUAGGCGGGUUGGAAAGUCAGGUGUGAAAUCCUACAGCUUAACUGUAGAACUGCGCUUGAAACUUCUAAUCUAGAGUAUGGGAGGGGGAGAUGGAAUUAGUGGUGUAGGGGUAAAAUCCGUAGAUAUCACUAGGAAUACCUAAAGCGAAGGCGAUCUCCUGGAACAUUACUGACGCUAAGGCGUGAAAGCGUGGGGAGCAAACAGGAUUAGAUACCCGGGUAGUC